Molecule: transfer RNA, 85 nt
Filed under: Salmo salar (Atlantic salmon)
Lineage: Eukaryota; Metazoa; Chordata; Actinopteri; Salmoniformes; Salmonidae
Rfam family: tRNA
About the family: Transfer RNA (tRNA) molecules are approximately 80 nucleotides in length. Their secondary structure includes four short double-helical elements and three loops (D, anti-codon, and T loops).
Source: Rfam by way of RNAcentral
UCCCGUGUGGCUCAGUUGGUAGAGCACUUAACAAAGAGCUGUGCAUUGUAACGGCAGUGUUGUGGGUUCAAUUCCCACAGGGGAC